UGCNGUCGANCGGUAACGCGGGGCAACCUGGCGACGAGUGGCGAACGGGUGAGUAAUAUAUCGGAACGUGCCCAGUCGUGGGGGAUAACUGCUCGAAAGAGCAGCUAAUACCGCAUACGACCUGAGGGUGAAAGCGGGGGAUCUUCGGACCUCGCGCGAUUGGAGCGGCCGAUAUCAGAUUAGGUAGUUGGUGGGGUAAAGGCCUACCAAGCCGACGAUCUGUAGCUGGUCUGAGAGGACGACCAGCCACACUGGGACUGAGACACGGCCCAGACUCCUACGGGAGGCAGCAGUGGGGAAUUUUGGACAAUGGGGGCAACCCUGAUCCAGCCAUGCCGCGUGCGGGAAGAAGGCCUUCGGGUUGUAAACCGCUUUUGUCAGGGAAGAAAUCCUUUGGGCUAAUAACUCGGAGGGAUGACGGUACCUGAAGAAUAAGCACCGGCUAACUACGUGCCAGCAGCCGCGGUAAUACGUAGGGUGCAAGCGUUAAUCGGAAUUACUGGGCGUAAAGCGUGCGCAGGCGGUUAUGCAAGACAGAUGUGAAAUCCCCGGGCUCAACCUGGGAACUGCAUUUGUGACUGCACGGCUAGAGUACGGUAGAGGGGGAUGGAAUUCCGCGUGUAGCAGUGAAAUGCGUAGAUAUGCGGAGGAACACCGAUGGCGAAGGCAAUCCCCUGGACCUGUACUGGCGCUCAUGCACGAAAGCGUGNGGAGCNNNNNGGAUUAGAUACCCUGGUAGUCCACGCCCUAAACGAUGUCAACUGGUUGUUGGGAGGGUUUCUUCUCAGUAACGUANCUNACGCGUGAAGUUGACCGCCUGGGGNGUANNGCCGCNAGGUUGAAACUCAAAGGAAUUGANNGGACCNGCA
Molecule: ribosomal RNA, 869 nt
Filed under: uncultured bacterium
Lineage: Bacteria
Description: bacterial SSU rRNA
Rfam family: Bacterial small subunit ribosomal RNA
Source: RNAcentral